UACGUAGGGGGCGAGCGUUGUCCGGAUUUAUUGGGCGUAAAGAGCGUGUAGGCGGCCGAGCAGGUCCGUUGUGAAAACUGAAGGCUCAACCUUCAGAGGUCGAUGGAAACCGUUCGGCUAGAGUCCGGAAGAGGAGAGUGGAAUUCCUGGUGUAGCGGUGAAAUGCGCAGAUAUCAGGAAGAACACCCGUGGCGAAAGCGGCUCUCUGGGACGGUACUGACGCUGAGACGCGAAAGCGUGGGGAGCGAACAGG
RNAcentral lists this ribosomal RNA (253 nucleotides) under uncultured bacterium. RNAcentral describes it as "partial 16S ribosomal RNA". It matches the Rfam family "Bacterial small subunit ribosomal RNA", at positions 524 to 776 of the family's 1533-position model. The record is from RNAcentral.